Molecule: ribosomal RNA, 1372 nt
Filed under: Cupriavidus taiwanensis STM 6018
Lineage: Bacteria; Pseudomonadati; Pseudomonadota; Betaproteobacteria; Burkholderiales; Burkholderiaceae
Description: bacterial LSU rRNA
Rfam family: Bacterial large subunit ribosomal RNA
Source: RNAcentral
UGGGGCGAGCGGCCUAGUGCUGCGAAGCAAUUGGAAGUGGUUCCAAGAAAAGCCUCUAAGCUUCAGUCAUACGAGACCGUACCGCAAACCGACACAGGUGGGCGAGAUGAGUAUUCUAAGGCGCUUGAGAGAACUCGGGAGAAGGAACUCGGCAAAUUGGUACCGUAACUUCGGGAUAAGGUACGCCCUGGUAGCUUGACUGGCCUGCGCCAGAAGGGUGAAGGGGUUGCAAUAAAAUGGUGGCUGCGACUGUUUAAUAAAAACACAGCACUCUGCAAACACGAAAGUGGACGUAUAGGGUGUGACGCCUGCCCGGUGCCGGAAGAUUAAAUGAUGGGGUGCAAGCUCUUGAUUGAAGUCCCGGUAAACGGCGGCCGUAACUAUAACGGUCCUAAGGUAGCGAAAUUCCUUGUCGGGUAAGUUCCGACCUGCACGAAUGGCGUAACGAUGGCCACACUGUCUCCUCCCGAGACUCAGCGAAGUUGAAGUGUUUGUGAUGAUGCAAUCUCCCCGCGGCUAGACGGAAAGACCCCAUGAACCUUUACUGUAGCUUUGCAUUGGACUUUGAACCGAUCUGUGUAGGAUAGGUGGGAGGCUUUGAAGCGUGGACGCUAGUUCACGUGGAGCCGUCCUUGAAAUACCACCCUGGUUUGUUUGAGGUUCUAACCUUGGCCCGUGAAUCCGGGUCGGGGACAGUGCAUGGUAGGCAGUUUGACUGGGGCGGUCUCCUCCCAAAGUGUAACGGAGGAGUUCGAAGGUACGCUUGGUACGGUCGGACAUCGUACCUAAAGUGCAAUGGCAAAAGCGUGCUUAACUGCGAGACCGACAAGUCGAGCAGGUGCGAAAGCAGGACAUAGUGAUCCGGUGGUUCUGAAUGGAAGGGCCAUCGCUCAACGGAUAAAAGGUACUCUGGGGAUAACAGGCUGAUACCGCCCAAGAGUUCAUAUCGACGGCGGUGUUUGGCACCUCGAUGUCGGCUCAUCUCAUCCUGGGGCUGUAGCCGGUCCCAAGGGUAUGGCUGUUCGCCAUUUAAAGAGGUACGUGAGCUGGGUUUAAAACGUCGUGAGACAGUUUGGUCCCUAUCUGCCGUGGGCGUUGGAAUCUUGACGGGGGCUGCUCCUAGUACGAGAGGACCGGAGUGGACGUACCGCUGGUGUACCUGUUGUCUCGCCAGAGGCAUCGCAGGGUAGCUAUGUACGGAAGAGAUAACCGCUGAAAGCAUCUAAGCGGGAAACUCGCCUGAAGAUGAGGAUUCCCUGGAGGCUUGACCUCCUUGAAGGGUCGUUCGAGACCAGGACGUUGAUAGGCUGGGUGUGGAAGCGCAGUAAUGCGUUAAGCUAACCAGUACUAAUUGCCCGUAAGGCUUGAUCCU